RNAcentral lists this ribosomal RNA (253 nucleotides) under uncultured bacterium. RNAcentral describes it as "partial 16S ribosomal RNA". It matches the Rfam family "Bacterial small subunit ribosomal RNA", at positions 524 to 776 of the family's 1533-position model. The record is from RNAcentral.
UACGAAGGGGGCUAGCGUUGCUCGGAAUCACUGGGCGUAAAGCGCACGUAGGCGGGUCUUUAAGUCAGGGGUGAAAUCCUGGAGCUCAACUCCGGAACUGCACUUGAUACUGCCUUGCUAGAGUACUGGAGAGGAGACUGGAAUUUACGGUGUAGCAGUGAAAUGCGUAGAGAUCGUAAGGAAGACCAGUGGCGAAGGCGAGUCUCUGGACAGUUACUGACGCUGAGGCACGAAGGCCAGGGGAGCAAACGGG